AUGCUCUCGCGCCAAAUCUGGAGGAUUAUCCAAAAUCUUGACACACUGUGUGCCAAGCUGCUGAAAGCAAAGUACUUCCCCAACACGCAUGUCCUUGAAGCAGUGCCGAAGGAUGGUAUAUCCUAUGCUUGGCGUAGUCCUUUGCAUGGACUCGAGUUGUUCAAGGAGGGCUACAUCUGGCAUAUCGCUGACGGGGCAGAUGUUAACAUCUGGUCCGACCCGUGGAUCCCGCGCCCGUGGUCUCGGCGUGUAAUCACACCAAGAGGAGCACAUCUCCUGGACCGAGUUCAGGACCUGAUAGAUCCAACAACAGGAACGUGGGAUGAACAGCUUGUUCGGGAGAUCUUUUGGGCAGAUGACGCACAACAUAUCCUCAGGAUUCCUCUGAGGGAAGGAGUCCAAGACUUCAUAGCGUGGCAAUAUGAUAAGAAGGGUCUACACUCGGUUAAAAGUGCAUAUAAGCUACAUGCACAGAUCACUAGUAACCAGAAUGGAGGAGGCACGGGGCAGAGUGCCGAGCCGGCCGGAAACAUGGAUUGCACCACUGACGACCAAUGGAAAAGGAUAUGGAAGUUACCAUGCCCGAAGAACAUUCAGAUGUUCGCAUGGCAUAUGAAACACGAGUCGCUUGCCCUUCGCACCAAUAUUGAGCAUAGAGGUAUUCCCAUAGCUGACACGAAGUGCUUGUUUUGUGGGCGUGUGGAUGAAGAUGGCGCACACCUGUUCAUCAAGUGCAAGCCGGUAAAGCCAGGCUGGAGGGACAUGGCUCUGGAGAAGGAGAGAAUGGAGUUGGAGGAUAUUACAUUAGUACAUGCAAUGUUUGACUAUCUUUGGAGACUGGAUGAGAAGAAGAGGCUCCUUAUCAUCACGUUUUGGUGGCUGUGGUGGUCAAACAGAAACAAGCUAAGGGAGGGAAAGCUACCUCUCGAAGCCUCAGCUGUAGCAUGGAAGUCCAGAUGCUCGGUGUUUGAAUAUCAAGACAUUUUCCUGAAGCCACCCAAAAAAUCGUCACCGGAAAAAUGGAGGCCACCAGAGGGGGAUAUGAUUAAGAUAAAUGUUGAUGGGUCCUUUAUGCCUGGUGAAGAUUUCACAGGCUGGGGUGUCGUUGCGAGAACGGCCUCGGGUGACAUUGUGGGUGCCCGGGUGGGGAGGCAGGAGAAUGUCCGGGAUGCGUUUUCUGCGGAAGCUUAUGCUAUAUCACAUGCAGUUUCCUUUCCUGCUGAACUGGGCAUCGUUAAAAUGGUUUUGGACACUGACUCUCAACUUCUCAUGGAGGCCAUGGACCUGCGCAAGGCUGACUCCUCGGCAUAUGCAGCCAUUAUUGAGGACACUAAGUACCAGCUCAAGAUGUGGUUUUCAUCUCAUGUAAUUCUUUUUUGA
Molecule: ribosomal RNA, 1380 nt
Filed under: Triticum aestivum (bread wheat)
Lineage: Eukaryota; Viridiplantae; Streptophyta; Magnoliopsida; Poales; Poaceae
Description: partial small subunit ribosomal RNA
Source: RNAcentral